RNAcentral lists this long non-coding RNA (293 nucleotides) under Solanum tuberosum (potato). RNAcentral describes it as "long non-coding RNA (STUB_LNC005346)". Lineage: Eukaryota; Viridiplantae; Streptophyta; Magnoliopsida; Solanales; Solanaceae. The record is from RNAcentral.
UACAGAAUUCGAAUAAAAAUAUACAAGUCUCAGAGUAUAGUUCUCGAAUAGAACAAAACUGAAAGUAAAGAUAACUCAAGGGCACGUCUGGAAUGAACCGCUACCUCUCGAGUAUGUCUCGAAGCUCAAUCUGCUAAAGAAACUACUAAGCCGAAUCUGAGAGAGAGCUGUCAACCUACACAAUUGUGUAGAAGCAAGGGUGAGUACCGAAAACCACAGGUACUCGCAAGUAACUCUAAACUAAGCAAAACUAGCAGCUACAAACAACUCCUUUCAAUCCCAACCGAACCACC